AAUAGGCCCAACUCUGAAGCAGCUUAUACCCAGAAGAAAUACUACAGGGCCCAAGUGGCUCCAAAACUAUGUUUACUCAAAAAAAUUAGCAUCUCUUCAUUCCUUUGCUCUCUUGUUCGAAUUAUGUAUUCCUGAGAACCCAACUUGUCCUUUCUCAAAGCAUCCUUGAGCUCAAGCGGUUGAUUCCAAAACCAGUAAGGGGAAAGCUUUCCAGUUUGAGCAAGUUUUGCCAGAGUGUGAGCACUGUUGUUACCAGAUCUUGGUGUCCAGCUGUAGGUUGUCAGAUUCGAAAUCAUCCUUUGUGAAACCCAGAUUGAUCGCUGCAACAGUCGCUUCCCUGAGGGCAAAGGCUUCUGCAGUGAUUGGUUUGGUAGAGAAGAUGCGUUUCGCAGCACCCCAGUUUCCAGAUCUGGAGAAGCCCAGCCAUUAUUGCAUUGACUGACUUUACACAGCUCCACUACAGUUGCAGUUUGUCUUCACAUGAAAUGCAUUAACUGUUUUUCAUCUUUUAAAAACCUUCAAGUGUUUUUGUCUAUUGCUUGUUGGCUUCCAAGAUUACAAUUGCUGAACUGGCCUUGAUUUUUUUUUUUUGAUUUGUUUAGUCUAUCUUUAUGGCCUUGUAUGGUUCAGUUUCUUUGUUGUAUUUGCUUGGGCCUUGGCCCGUUUAAAUCAAUGAAUUUGAUUAUUGACCAAAAAAAAAAUUAUCAUCUAUCGACCAAAAAUAAUUAUUUAGCAUC
Molecule: long non-coding RNA, 737 nt
Organism: Lotus japonicus
Lineage: Eukaryota; Viridiplantae; Streptophyta; Magnoliopsida; Fabales; Fabaceae
Exons: 3
Source: RefSeq, a predicted model, not a curated record